UGAAGGGGUGCUGCGCAGUUCUCCCUCUCUUCGCAGCACCUCUCCUGCGAAGGAGAGGUGCUGCGAAGAGAGGGAGAACUGUGCAGCGCCCCUUCAAGCAAAGCUGGAGAAGGAACAGAAGGAGACCCUUCUUUUCCUCCUCCGGCU
Podarcis lilfordi (Lilford's wall lizard) is the source of this 147-nucleotide non-coding RNA. The record is from the annotation of a GenBank genome assembly. NCBI's taxonomy places the organism in Eukaryota, Metazoa, Chordata, Lepidosauria, Squamata, Lacertidae.